Molecule: ribosomal RNA, 496 nt
Filed under: uncultured bacterium
Lineage: Bacteria
Description: partial 16S ribosomal RNA
Rfam family: Bacterial small subunit ribosomal RNA
Source: RNAcentral
GAUGAACGCUGGCGGCGUGCCUAAUACAUGCAAGUCGAGCGAACAGACGAGGAGCUUGCUCCUUCGACGUUAGCGGCGGACGGGUGAGUAACACGUAGGUAACCUACCUAUAAGACUGGGAUAACUUCGGGAAACCGGAGCUAAUACCGGAUAAUAUUUCGAACCGCAUGGUUCGAUAGUGAAAGAUGGCUUUGCUAUCACUUAUAGAUGGACCUGCGCCGUAUUAGCUAGUUGGUAAGGUAACGGCUUACCAAGGCAACGAUACGUAGCCGACCUGAGAGGGUGAUCGGCCACACUGGAACUGAGAGACGGUCCAGACACCGACGGGAGGCAGCAGUAGGGAACCGUCCGCAAUGGGCGAAAGCCUGACGGAUCAACGCCGCGUGAGUGAAGAAGGUCUUCGUGUCGUAAAACGCUGUUAUUAGGGAAGAACAAACGUGUAAGUAACUGUGCACGUCUGGAGGGUACCUAAUCAGAAAGCCACGCUUAACUACGU